Molecule: ribosomal RNA, 433 nt
Filed under: uncultured bacterium
Lineage: Bacteria
Description: partial 16S ribosomal RNA
Rfam family: Bacterial small subunit ribosomal RNA
Source: RNAcentral
AACGAACGCUGGCGGCAUGCCUAACACAUGCAAGUCGAACGAGACCUUCGGGUCUAUUGGCGCACGGGUGCGUAACGCGUGGGAACCUGCCCUUAGGUUCGGAAUAACUCCCCGAAAGGGGUGCUAAUACCGGAUAAUGUCUUCGGACCAAAGAUUUAUCGCCUUUGGAUGGGCCCGCGUUGGAUUAGCUAGUUGGUAGGGUAAAAGCCUACCAAGGCGACGAUCCAUAGCUGGUCUGAGAGGAUGAUCAGCCAGACUGGGACUGAGACACGGACCAGACUCCUACGGGAGGCAGGAGUGGGGAAUAUUGGACAAUGGGCGAAAGCCUGAUCCAGCAAUGCCGCGUGAGUGAUGAAGGCCUUAGGGUUGUAAAGCUCUUUUACCCGGGAUGAUAAUGACAGUACCGGGAGAAUAAGCUCCGGCUAACUCCGUG